RNAcentral lists this ribosomal RNA (199 nucleotides) under uncultured Spirochaetaceae bacterium. Its description in RNAcentral is "partial 16S ribosomal RNA". It matches the Rfam family "Bacterial small subunit ribosomal RNA", at positions 1184 to 1382 of the family's 1533-position model. Lineage: Bacteria; Pseudomonadati; Spirochaetota; Spirochaetia; Spirochaetales; Spirochaetaceae. The record is from RNAcentral.
GUCAAGUCAUCAUGGCCCUUAUGUCCAGGGCUACACACGUGCUACAAUGGGCGAGACAGAGCGACGCGAAGCCGCGAGGUGGAGCAAAUCGCAGAAAAUCGCCCUCAGUUCGGAUUGGAGUCUGAAACCCGACUCCAUGAAGGUGGAAUCGCUAGUAAUCGCGCAUCAGCAUGGCGCGGUGAAUACGUUCCCGGGCCUU